UGGGUUGUAGCUCAGUGAUAGAGCGCUUGCCUAACAUGCGUGAGACACUGGGUUUGAUUCUCAGCAAUGCAU
RNAcentral lists this transfer RNA (72 nucleotides) under Ictidomys tridecemlineatus (thirteen-lined ground squirrel). RNAcentral's name for it is "Spermophilus tridecemlineatus (thirteen-lined ground squirrel) tRNA". It matches the Rfam family "tRNA". Rfam says of the family: Transfer RNA (tRNA) molecules are approximately 80 nucleotides in length. Their secondary structure includes four short double-helical elements and three loops (D, anti-codon, and T loops). The record is from Rfam by way of RNAcentral. Lineage: Eukaryota; Metazoa; Chordata; Mammalia; Rodentia; Sciuridae.